ACAGCAGCCGCCGCGGUAAUACGUAGGUGGCAAGCGUUGUCCGGAAUUAUUGGGCGUAAAGGGCUCGCAGGCGGUUUCUUAAGUCUGAUGUGAAAGCCCCCGGCUCAACCGGGGAGGGUCAUUGGAAACUGGGAAACUUGAGUGCAGAAGAGGAGAGUGGAAUUCCACGUGUAGCGGUGAAAUGCGUAGAGAUGUGGAGGAACACCAGUGGCGAAGGCGACUCUCUGGUCUGUAACUGACGCUGAGGAGCGAAAGCGUGGGGAGCGAACAGGAUUAGAUACCCGUGUAGUCCCUGUCUCUUAUAC
Molecule: ribosomal RNA, 305 nt
Filed under: uncultured bacterium
Lineage: Bacteria
Description: partial 16S ribosomal RNA
Rfam family: Bacterial small subunit ribosomal RNA
Source: RNAcentral